CAUCCUUAGAUAUUUAAAGCUCAGGCGGUACGGGAUGGGCAUGCGGAACAUAAGCUAAAUGGGAGGGUGACGGACUACCAAAGCAACGAAGUAAAGGGGACCUGAGAGGGUGAUCCCCCACACUGGUACUGACACACGGACCAGACUCCUACGGGAGGCAUCAGUGAGGAAUAUUGUUCAAUGGGCGCAAGCCUUGAACCAUCCAUCCCGCGUGCUGUAAGUCGGCCCUAUGGGUUUAAUCUGCUUUUCCAGGGGGAGAUUUGUCUGUCGUGACAGGAAUUGACGGUACCCUGGGAAUAAGCAUCGGCUAACUCCGUGCCAGCAGCCGCGGUAAUACGGAGGAUGCGAGCGUUAUCCGGAUUUAUUGGGUUUAAAGGGUGCGUAGGCGGAUAGAUAAGUCAGUGGUGAAUACCUGCAGCUUAACUGUAGACUUGCCGUUGAUACUGUCAGUCUUGAGUAUGGUCAAGGUAGACGGAAUGUGUAAUGUAGCGGUGAAAUGCUUAGAUAUUACACAGAACACCGAUUGCGAAGGCAGCUUACUGGGCCAUUACUGACGCUGAUGCACGAAAGCGUGGGGAUCGAACAGGAUUAGAUACUCUGGUAGUCCACGCCGUAAACGAUGAUCACUCGCUGUUAGCGAUACACAGUUAGCGGCUAAGCAAAA
Molecule: ribosomal RNA, 664 nt
Filed under: uncultured Bacteroidota bacterium
Lineage: Bacteria; Pseudomonadati; Bacteroidota
Description: bacterial SSU rRNA
Rfam family: Bacterial small subunit ribosomal RNA
Source: RNAcentral